ACUGAGGGUAGCGGAGAAAUUCCAAUCGAACCUGGAGAUAGCUGGUUCUCUCCGAAAUAGCUUUAGGGCUAGCCUCAAGUGAUGAUUAUUGGAGGUAGAGCACUGUUUGGACGAGGGGCCCCUCUCGGGUUACCGAAUUCAGACAAACUCCGAAUGCCAAUUAAUUUAACUUGGGAGUCAGAACAUGGGUGAUAAGGUCCGUGUUCGAAAGGGAAACAGCCCAGACCACCAGCUAAGGUCCCAAAAUAUAUGUUAAGUGGAAAAGGAUGUGGCGUUGCCCAGACAACUAGGAUGUUGGCUUAGAAGCAGCCAUCAUUUAAAGAGUGCGUAAUAGCUCACUAGUCGAGUGACACUGCGCCGAAAAUGUACCGGGGCUAAACAUAUUACCGAAGCUGUGGAUUGUCCUUUGGACAAUGGUAGGAGAGCGUUCUAAGGGCGUUGAAGCAUGAUCGUAAGGACAUGUGGAGCGCUUAGAAGUGAGAAUGCCGGUGUGAGUAGCGAAAGACGGGUGAGAAUCCCGUCCACCGAUUGACUAAGGUUUCCAGAGGAAGGCUCGUCCGCUCUGGGUUAGUCGGGUCCUAAGCUGAGGCCGACAGGCGUAGGCGAUGGAUAACAGGUUGAUAUUCCUGUACCACCUAUAAUCGUUUUA
This 649-nucleotide ribosomal RNA is filed under the name Staphylococcus aureus. RNAcentral describes it as "partial 23S ribosomal RNA". It matches the Rfam family "Bacterial large subunit ribosomal RNA", at positions 808 to 1461 of the family's 2925-position model. Lineage: Bacteria; Bacillati; Bacillota; Bacilli; Caryophanales; Staphylococcaceae. The record is from RNAcentral.